RNAcentral lists this long non-coding RNA (1275 nucleotides) under Heterocephalus glaber (naked mole-rat). Its description in RNAcentral is "lncRNA (ENSHGLG00100052539.1)". Lineage: Eukaryota; Metazoa; Chordata; Mammalia; Rodentia; Bathyergidae. The record is from RNAcentral.
AGAAUUAUUCUUUUAUUAGAUUUCUUCAUAACAAUGAAAAGUACCACAAAAUUAUGGUGCAAUUUUUUGAGAUAAAUUUUAUGUCUGUCUAAAUUAUUCUACAAGUUCAAAAAACUAGAGAGAAACAGUUUUAAUCAGGCAAGAAUUCAGGAGUAUUGUUUUUAUGCAUUUUUAUUGAGGAAAAUGCUAGAGAUUCACUCUCAACUAAAUCAGAGAUGACCAAAGACAUCACAGCAAAAAGUGGGUAAUAGAAGCUAAAUAUAUUGUACAGGAAAAUUAAAUCAAGUAUGGAAUUACAAUAAAAUUUCAAUGGAAAAUUUAUAUACUCUGAAAAAUAGAAGAAAUGGUCUAAACAUUAGAAAAGUAAGAAGAGGAAAGUGCUAGAGGAAACAUAUAAAUUAUUUGGCCUUAUAAUAGAUUAGAUAUGAAGUAAAAGUAUCACUUAAAGCUGAGAAAAUCAAAUAAGAUAAGUAUAUUUAAUACAAUUAAGAUAAUACUGUUUAUUAAAAUCAGGUGAUGGAGAAAACUAGAAGAGAAGAAACCUUUUAUUUUUAAGACUCCUAUAAUAGUAGAGUAAGUAAAGAGAUAAGAGAGAAAUAGUGUGUAAAAUUCAAAUCCAGAAGCACAUACUAGAGAAAGAAAUGAGGAUUGUAAAGCUCUUUUCAAAUUCUAAAACCACAAAAGAAAUGAUCAAUAAGCAUACUUAACUACCAAACAAACCUUACUUGUCAAAAACAAGCAAAAGCAUAAAGAAAAGCAAAAAUGAUGAUCAGCGAAGGAUUUGCAGCUAUCAGAGACAAACGACUCUCUUUCCUUAUGACUAAAAAUCCCCUAUCAAUUGAUUGGCGAAAGACCAACUAACUCAGUACAAAAAUGAGCAAAGGGGCUGGGGAUUUAGCUCAGCGGUGCCACCACCUGCCUCACAAGCACAAGGUCCUGAGUUCGAUCCCCGGUACCAAAUAAAUGAGCAAAGAAUGAGAAUUGAAAGUUCAGAAAAGAAAAUACAUACAGUAGCUCUUAAAUAUAUAAUAUCCUCUGUCUCUUUCACAAGAGGAUCACAAAUUAAAACAACACUGAGGUCCCACUGAUGUCAUUUCUCACAUAUUGGAGUAGUAAAAACUGAAAACUUUGAUAGUGCCUCAUCAAGAUUUCUACAACAAAAAAGAAGGAACUAGUAAUAAUGGGGGACAACUGCACACCUGAAUAUUGCUAAAAUAAUCGUUCUUAAAUGUUCUCACCACACACACAUACACAAAAAGAAUGACCACAAUGGGG